GACGUAGGGCGCGAGCGUUGUCCGGAAUUAUUGGGCGUAAAGAGCUCGUAGGCGGUGUGUCGCGUCGGCCGUGAAAACCUGCAGCUUAACUGUGGGCUUGCGGUCGAUACGGGCAUCACUGGAGUUCGGCAGGGGAGACUGGAAUUCCUGGUGUAGCGGUGAAAUGCGCAGAUAUCAGGAGGAACACCGGUGGCGAAGGCGGGUCUCUGGGCCGAUACUGACGCUGAGGAGCGAAAGCCAGGGGAGCAAACGGG
RNAcentral lists this ribosomal RNA (254 nucleotides) under uncultured bacterium. RNAcentral describes it as "partial 16S ribosomal RNA". It matches the Rfam family "Bacterial small subunit ribosomal RNA", at positions 524 to 776 of the family's 1533-position model. The record is from RNAcentral.